RNAcentral lists this ribosomal RNA (767 nucleotides) under Sphingobacterium athyrii. RNAcentral describes it as "bacterial LSU rRNA". It matches the Rfam family "Bacterial large subunit ribosomal RNA", at positions 2136 to 2925 of the family's 2925-position model. Lineage: Bacteria; Pseudomonadati; Bacteroidota; Sphingobacteriia; Sphingobacteriales; Sphingobacteriaceae. The record is from RNAcentral.
GUGUAGGAUAGGCGGGAGAUGUUGAAGCGGCUUCGCCAGGAGUCGUGGAAUCAACCUUGAAAUACCGCCCUUUCUGUAUCCGGUUUCUAACUCGGUAUUACCGAGGACAUUGUUUGGUGGGUAGUUUGACUGGGGUGGUCGCCUCCAAAAAGGUAACGGAGGCUUUCAAAGGUAAGCUCAGUACGCUUGGUAACCGUACGCGGAGUGCAAUGGCAUAAGCUUGCUUGACUGUGAGACCUACAAGUCGAACAGGGUCGAAAGACGGACAUAGUGAUCCGGUGGUUCUGUAUGGAAGGGCCAUCGCUCAAAGGAUAAAAGGUACGCUGGGGAUAACAGGCUGAUCUCCCCCAAGAGCUCAUAUCGACGGGGAGGUUUGGCACCUCGAUGUCGGCUCGUCACAUCCUGGGGCUGGAGAAGGUCCCAAGGGUUGGGCUGUUCGCCCAUUAAAGUGGCACGCGAGCUGGGUUCAGAACGUCGCGAGACAGUUCGGUCCCUAUCUGUUGUGGGCGUUGGAAGUUUGAGUGGAUCUGACCUUAGUACGAGAGGACCGGGUUGGACAGACCUCUGGUGAACCUGUUAUGCCGCCAGGUGUACGGCAGGGUAGCUACGUCUGGAAUAGAUAAGCGCUGAAAGCAUCUAAGUGCGAAACUAGCCACGAGAUGAGACUUCCUUAUAGGGUCGUAGGAGAUGACUACGUUGAUAGGCCAUAGGUGUAAAGGUUGAGAGACCAAAGCCAAGUGGUACUAAUAGCCCGAAGCUUUCUCAAG